Molecule: long non-coding RNA, 735 nt
Organism: Gossypium arboreum
Lineage: Eukaryota; Viridiplantae; Streptophyta; Magnoliopsida; Malvales; Malvaceae
Exons: 3
Source: RefSeq, a predicted model, not a curated record
ACGGAAGAAAGACGUACGAGUAGACCACAUUCUACCCAAGCUUGGAACUCUUGAAGUUUACAAAUGUGACAACCUGAUGAGCUUAGGGUCAUCCUCAGCAGUGUUUCAAGAUCUCACCAAUUUCAGGUUGAAAAGUUUGGAGCUUGUGAAUCUACCGCAACUUAAGAGCUUUUGGUCAAGUGACCAUUCUUACUAAUACUGAGUGGUUGUCCUGAGUUGGAGAUAUUUUGAAAUGGAGUUUUAAAGACGCCAUUGGUGGAAAGAUUAGAAGACGGAAACGGUACGGGACAUUGGCACAAUGACCUUAACAGCACUAUCCCAACAUUUGCUUUCAAUGAAGUCUACAAGGGAGCAGCAGGAUAUAGGAGUAGUUGGUGAAGAAAAACCACCCUUUCUCAAGAUAUUUUCAAUGAGCAGGUGUGGGGUAUGCCGCUGUCAUUCAGGAUUCUCGAGGCCAUGUUGUUAAAGCUACAUCGGCUGGAGUGAUGGGCUGGUUGUACCAUGAAUGGCCUAGAUGAUUGUCCCUCUUAGUUAAAGUCACUUCUAAUCAAUCGGAUUACUUAUUGGUGGUCGAAGCAUUACAAAAUUUAUGUUCUUUUAUUAUUGAAUUUGGUAUAACCCUUCAUGAUUGUUUAAUGCUACAAUUUUAUUUUGAAUCUUUAUCAUUCCAUUAGAUUAUGGAGGUGUCAAUAAAGUAAUUCAUACUCUUAUUAAGAUAAUCUUAUUACAAGCAAA